CGCGUAGGCGGGAUCGCAAGUCAGAUGUGAAAUGUCGGGGCUUAACCCUGGAACUGCAUUUGAAACUGUGAUUCUUGAGUAUCGGAGAGGCAGGCGGAAUUCCAAGUGUAGCGGUGAAAUGCGUAGAUAUUUGGAGGAACACCAGUGGCGAAGGCGGCCUGCUGGACGACAACUGACGCUGAGGCGCGAAAGCGUGGGGAGCAAACA
The sequence is a ribosomal RNA, 207 nucleotides long. It matches the Rfam family "Bacterial small subunit ribosomal RNA", at positions 568 to 774 of the family's 1533-position model.